CUCUCGCAGCCCGACUUGAGUGGAAAUCCUUUUUUUGCUAGACUAAAAUUUCAAUUUAAUCUGAAAAUGUGAUGCAAAAAAAGAUUGGGAACGGAAGGCGGAAAUAGCU
Chryseobacterium arachidis is the source of this 109-nucleotide non-coding RNA. The record is from Rfam. NCBI's taxonomy places the organism in Bacteria, Pseudomonadati, Bacteroidota, Flavobacteriia, Flavobacteriales, Weeksellaceae.